UGGAACAUAGCUCAGUUGGCAGAGCGAUGGCCUUAUAAGCCAUGUGUCGAAGGUUCGAGUCCUUCUGUUCCGG
RNAcentral lists this transfer RNA (73 nucleotides) under Caudoviricetes sp. Its description in RNAcentral is "tRNA-Ile". It matches the Rfam family "tRNA". From Rfam's summary of the family: Transfer RNA (tRNA) molecules are approximately 80 nucleotides in length. Their secondary structure includes four short double-helical elements and three loops (D, anti-codon, and T loops). Further hydrogen bonds mediate the characteristic L-shaped molecular structure. tRNAs have two regions of fundamental functional importance: the anti-codon, which is responsible for specific mRNA codon recognition, and the 3' end, to which the tRNAs corresponding amino acid is attached (by aminoacyl-tRNA synthetases). tRNAs cope with the degeneracy of the genetic code in two manners: having more than one tRNA (with a specific anti-codon) for a particular amino acid; and 'wobble' base-pairing, i.e. permitting non-standard base-pairing at the 3rd anti-codon position. Lineage: Duplodnaviria; Heunggongvirae; Uroviricota; Caudoviricetes. The record is from RNAcentral.